Molecule: ribosomal RNA, 374 nt
Filed under: uncultured bacterium
Lineage: Bacteria
Description: bacterial SSU rRNA
Rfam family: Bacterial small subunit ribosomal RNA
Source: RNAcentral
AUUGAACGCUGGCGGCGUGCUUAACACAUGCAAGUCGAUGGGUAACAGGUGUAGCAAUACAUGCUGACGAGAGGCGGACGGGUGAGUAAUGCUUGGGAAUCUGCCUAUUAGUGGGGGACAACCCGGGGAAACUCGGGCUAAUACCGCAUACGCUCUACGGAGGAAAGCCGGGGACCGCAAGGCCUGGCGCUAAUAGAUGAGCCCAAGUCGGAUUAGCUAGUUGGUAGGGUAACGGCCUACCAAGGCGACAAUCCGUAGCUGGUCUGAGAGGACGACCAGCCACACCGGAACUGAGACACGGUCCGGACUCCUACGGGAGGCAGCAGUGGGGAAUAUUGGACAAUGGGGGCAACCCUGAUCCAGCGACGCCGCGU